UCCUGGUUAACCCAGGCAGUCUCGUCAGAGUGCCCAACUUAAUGCUGGCAACAGACGAUAGGGGUUGCGCUCGUUGCGAGACUUAACCCAACAUUUCACAACACGAGCUGACGACAGCCAUGCAGCACCUCUCACUACAUUUCCUUGCGGACACUCCAGGCAUUACCCCGGAUUCGUAGGAGUUCAAGCCUAGGUAAGGUUCUGCGCGUUGCUUCGAAUUAAACCACAUAAUCCACCGCUCGUGCGGGCCCCCGUCAAUUUGUUUGAGUUUUAGUCUUGCGACCGUACUCCCCAGGCUGAAUACUUAAUGCGUUAGCUUCGACACUGAGAGCCAAGUUGCUCCCAACGUCCAGUUCGCAUCGUUUAGGGCGUGGACUAC
RNAcentral lists this unclassified non-coding RNA (379 nucleotides) under uncultured Bacteriovoracaceae bacterium. RNAcentral describes it as "contains 16S-23S intergenic spacer region". Lineage: Bacteria; Pseudomonadati; Bdellovibrionota; Bacteriovoracia; Bacteriovoracales; Bacteriovoracaceae. The record is from RNAcentral.